GAUGAACGCUGGCGGCGUGCCUAGUACAUGCAAGUCGAGCGAACGGACGAGAAGCUUGCUUUUCUGAUGUUAGCGGCGGACGGGUGAGUAACACGUGGAUAACCUACCUAUAAGACUGGGAUAACUUCGGGAAACCGGAGCUAAUACCGGAUAAUAUUUUGAACCGCAUGGUUCAAAAGUGAAAGACGGUCUUGCUGUCACUUAUAGAUGGAUCCGCGCUGCAUUAGCUAGUUGGUAAGGUAACGGCUUACCAAGGCAACGAUGCAUAGCCGACCUGAGAGGGUGAUCGGCCACACUGGAACUGAGACACGGUCCAGACUCCUACGGCAGGCAGCAGUAGGGAAUCUUCCGCAAUGGGCGAAAGCCUGACGGAGCAACGCCGCGUGAGUGAUGAAGGUCUUCGGAUCGUAAAACUCUGUUAUUAGGGAAGAACAUAUGUGUAAGUAACUGUGCACAUCUUGACGGUACCUAAUCAGAAAGCCACGGCUAACUACGUG
Molecule: ribosomal RNA, 497 nt
Filed under: uncultured bacterium
Lineage: Bacteria
Description: partial 16S ribosomal RNA
Rfam family: Bacterial small subunit ribosomal RNA
Source: RNAcentral